UACGGAGGGGGCUAGCGUUGUUCGGAAUUACUGGGCGUAAAGCGCACGUAGGCGGACUUGUAAGUCAGGGGUGAAAUCCCGGGGCUCAACCUCGGAACUGCCUUUGAUACUGCAAGUCUCGAGUCCGGAAGAGGUGAGUGGAAUUCCUAGUGUAGAGGUGAAAUUCGUAGAUAUUAGGAAGAACACCCGUGGCUAAGGCGGCUCUCUAGUACGGUACUGACGCUGAGACGCGAAAGCGUGGGGAGCGAACAGG
RNAcentral lists this ribosomal RNA (253 nucleotides) under uncultured bacterium. RNAcentral's name for it is "partial 16S ribosomal RNA". It matches the Rfam family "Bacterial small subunit ribosomal RNA", at positions 524 to 776 of the family's 1533-position model. The record is from RNAcentral.